GGUUAAGCGAAUAAGCGUACACGGUGGAUGCCUAGGCAAUCAGAGGCGAUGAAGGACGUGCUAAUCUGCGAAAAGCGUCGGUAAGGUGAUAUGAACCGUUAUACCCGACGAUAUCCGAAUGGGGAAACCCAGUAUCCAAUGGAUACUAUCAUUAACUGAAUCCAUAGGUUAAUGAGGCGAACCGGGAGAACUGAAACAUCUCAGUACCCCGAGGAAAAGAAAUCAACCGAGAUUCCCCUAGUAGCGGCGAGCGAACGGGGAGCAGCCCAGAGUCUUAAUCAAUAACAGUGUCAGGAGAACGGUCUGGAAAGUCCGGCAGUAAAGGGUGAUAGCCCCGUAUCUGAAGAUGCUGUUGUUGUGAACUCGACGAGUAGGGCGGGACACGUGUUAUCCUGUCUGAAUAUGGGGGGACCAUCCUCCAAGGCUAAAUACUCCUGAUUGACCGAUAGUGAACCAGUACCGUGAGGGAAAGGCGAAAAGAACCCCGGCGAGGGGAGUGAAAAAGAACCUGAAACCGUGUACGUACAAGCAGUAGGAGCCCCAUCACUCAAGUGCCUCGCACUGAGUGAUGCAAGAACAUCACCGAAAAUAGCGCCGAAUUUGCUAACAAGGUUGGUCGAUUUUUUCAAGCCGUCGCGCAGUGUACCUAGAAGUACACGAGCAACGGAAGUUAAAAAAUCGGGCAAGAUUGAACGCAAAGGCAAGCGGGACAUUUGAGGAUGGGGUGACUGCGUACCUUUUGUAUAAUGGGUCAGCGACUUAUAUUCUGUAGCAAGGUUAACCGCAUAGGGGAGCCGUAGGGAAACCGAGUCUUAACUGGGCGAAUGAGUUGCAGGGUAUAGACCCGAAACCCGGUGAUCUA
This 862-nucleotide ribosomal RNA is filed under the name Proteus mirabilis. Its description in RNAcentral is "partial 23S ribosomal RNA". It matches the Rfam family "Bacterial large subunit ribosomal RNA", at positions 1 to 732 of the family's 2925-position model. Lineage: Bacteria; Pseudomonadati; Pseudomonadota; Gammaproteobacteria; Enterobacterales; Morganellaceae. The record is from RNAcentral.